UACGGGGGGAGCAAGCGUUGUUCGGAUUUACUGGGCGUAAAGGGCGCGUAGGCGGCCAGCACAAGUCAGUUGUGAAAUCUCCGGGCUUAACUCGGAAAGGUCAACUGAUACUGUGCGACUAGAGUGCGGAAGGGGCAACUGGAAUUCUCGGUGUAGCGGUGAAAUGCGUAGAUAUCGAGAGGAACACCUGCGGCGAAGGCGGGUUGCUGGGCCGACACUGACGCUGAUGCGCGAAAGCCAGGGGAGCGAACGGG
RNAcentral lists this ribosomal RNA (254 nucleotides) under uncultured bacterium. RNAcentral's name for it is "partial 16S ribosomal RNA". It matches the Rfam family "Bacterial small subunit ribosomal RNA", at positions 524 to 776 of the family's 1533-position model. The record is from RNAcentral.